This 475-nucleotide long non-coding RNA is filed under the name Anas platyrhynchos platyrhynchos (common mallard). Its description in RNAcentral is "lncRNA (ENSAPLG00000028502.1)". Lineage: Eukaryota; Metazoa; Chordata; Aves; Anseriformes; Anatidae. The record is from RNAcentral.
CACAUUCCCAGCACAGCUCCACAAUAUCUCUCUGGCUUUGGACUGUUUUUGAAAAGAAAGGUGCCAUGUUACUGCACUGCAGCCAGGCCUGGAUCUCUUAGAAAGAAAUCCAAGCUCAAAAAAUGUUUACUGAAGGUGUCCAUUGAAGAUGAAGCAGGUUUUGAACAAAUGUGUCUCGGGGACUGUUUGUUAGCUAAUUUUUCAUCUGAGUUUCCAGCUGCACCAGCAACCUGACUAAAGAAAAAAGAAGAACAGAAUUUGAGCAUGCAGGACAUUCUUCAAGGCUGUUUCUCAAGCCAUAUCCAUUCUCUACUGUUUGUCUGGAUGAUCCACCUCCAUGAUUUUCUACAGCACAUCUUAUAAAAGCUAAAUUCAACUUUGAAUGCAAAAAAUUAUUCACUUACUUUUCAGAGGUGCUAGAAGGAAACUUUUGUUAAUGUUUUGACUUUAAUAAACUGCAUGCUUCUUGUUCUCA